Molecule: transfer RNA, 73 nt
Filed under: Cordylochernes scorpioides
Lineage: Eukaryota; Metazoa; Arthropoda; Arachnida; Pseudoscorpiones; Chernetidae
Description: tRNA-Thr
Source: RNAcentral
ACCCUAGUAGUCUAGUGGACAUGGCAUCUGCCCGGUAAGCGGAACAGUGUGGGUUCGAUUCCAUCCCUGGACA